AUCAAAUCGUACCCCAAACCGACACAGGUGGUCAGGUAGAGAAUACCAAGGCGCUUGAGAGAACUCGGGUGAAGGAACUAGGCAAAAUGGUGCCGUAACUUCGGGAGAAGGCACGCUGACAUGUAGGUGAAGUGAUUUACUCAUGGAGCUGAAGUCAGUCGAAGAUACCAGCUGGCUGCAACUGUUUAUUAAAAACACAGCACUGUGCAAACACGAAAGUGGACGUAUACGGUGUGACGCCUGCCCGGUGCCGGAAGGUUAAUUGAUGGGGUCAGCGCAAGCGAAGCUCCUGAUCGAAGCCCCGGUAAACGGCGGCCGU
This 319-nucleotide ribosomal RNA is filed under the name Salmonella enterica subsp. enterica serovar Infantis. RNAcentral's name for it is "bacterial LSU rRNA". It matches the Rfam family "Bacterial large subunit ribosomal RNA", at positions 1636 to 1937 of the family's 2925-position model. Lineage: Bacteria; Pseudomonadati; Pseudomonadota; Gammaproteobacteria; Enterobacterales; Enterobacteriaceae. The record is from RNAcentral.